UUUCAGCAGUUUUGCCGUUGGGCGGGGGUCAUGAAAGAAGCGGUCUUGCACUCGGGGGAGGCUGCUGAACGACGGGAGCCGUACACCACUGAGUCGGCGAACGAUCUGCUCGAGACGCACGUCUACAGGCACCCGACAGAGACGCCAUCAGGACGACACCCUGUGUCGGGGGGCGAUGACGUUGUCUUGAGCCUCGUCCAAGGUGCUGCCCCCAUCACACCAGGUGUGGUCCCCGAUGUCUUGGUUCGGGGAACGAGGGAGAGCCGAGGAGUCCCCGGCGCGGGGGUCCCGGCCCCCCUCCUUCAGCUCCCGAGCCCAGACGCCCCGGCGGGGUGCGAGGCGGGCGAGAGUAGCGGACGGCGCCGCGGUCGCUCCGGUCUCCUCCUCGCGUUCCUGCUCCUUGCGGCCGUGGCGCUGAUCGCCAUCCUGGCCCUGUGCUCCUACGCCGCCCGCCUGAUAGCCCGAACUGCGGAGAGGAUGGGGACGUUCUGGAGCGGAGACGUGGAAAAGAAGUACCUCGACGAGAUGAGGCGGUGGACGGCUUUAGCGGCGCGGCUCCUCAACGGCUCGGCAGGGGACACCGCGCAGUGAGCAGCAUCGCGGCGUUGGGUCUCGGCGAGACGAGAAGACCUGCUGGGUUCUGCACAGGGCCUGUAGAAUGUGUCCCUGGGGCCAGUGCUGGGAUUAGUGGAGGUGUGAUGGGGGGGGGGGGUCAUUGCAUCAUUAAAACACCUGCAAUUAAAUCUGAUUAGACAUCUUUCAUUAAAUCUCUCUCUGUCACUCAUACACUCACUCACACACACACACGGAGUGACUUGCACCAGUAAGUACCAUGGCGGGUGGCGUCGUGGUCACGCCAGUCGCCUUCCGCUCGAAGGGCUCCCCCCUUGAUCGAGGCAUUUGCCCCGAAUCGCUCCUGCAAAAUGCACAGCUGCGCAACACGGUAAAUCGCUGCAAGGAGCUCGGCGCCCAACACCGUGCGUCGCUGUGGAGAAAAGCGGCAACUAGAUGAAAAAAUCGGGUUCCGAGCAGCAGGGAGCAGGAGAGCGAAGAAUCCGCCGUCCACAGAGAUCCCACCGUGGUAAAGUUUACAGUGGUAGAGCGCUGGGGUUUUACCGCUUCCUCUUUUCCUUCCUUCAGAGGUGCAGUUGUAGCCUUUUACUUUACCAGCAGAUGGCAAAAUUUCACCACUGAAAUUCCAUACUUCAAAUUUACUCUGUUUCCUUCUUCAUCACAAGUUUCCCAGAAACUAACAAGGUUUAUGAAUGGGGGGGUGGGGGUUGGGGGGGGGGGGGUUGCCUUCUUUUGCUUUGAUGGGGAAACAUAUUGACACCACGAGUCUAUAGCCUGUAUUGUUAAUCAGAAAUGUUUCAAUUUGCUUCUUAUGUCAAUAAACAUUCUGCAGAGUCGCUACCUACUGCUGAU
RNAcentral lists this long non-coding RNA (1425 nucleotides) under Scleropages formosus (Asian bonytongue). RNAcentral describes it as "lncRNA (ENSSFOG00015024791.1)". Lineage: Eukaryota; Metazoa; Chordata; Actinopteri; Osteoglossiformes; Osteoglossidae. The record is from RNAcentral.